UUCUUCAUUGUACUCCAGGAGGUAGGUACAGGGAACACCUCUCAUGAUAGAUGGUCUCUUUGUGGAUCAUCACCAUGAGGAUAAACAGCUUCAUCGGACAGAUUUACAGACCUUAGUACUCUACCUUCCUGCAUCUGUCUGAGGAACUGACGAUAAUGGCCACAUCAUCAUGAUUCCAACAUCAUUAUGAUGACACAGUGCACCUUUCCUGGGGCCUUGGCAAUGAGACCUGACAUUCUGGGAUUCACACAACAGCAGAUCUGAGACACAAGUCUUGAGGGCCAAUGUGUCUGUUGGCGCUCACUAUAGAACUUCAUCAGAAGCUAAAGACCCUCCCUGGUUAUAAGGGCCUUCGUUACCGGGCUUGGCUAUCUGAAGUGUCCCGUGUUUAGUCUGCUCAGGUUUUUCUUCACUCUCAGCUAUUGUUAAGGAAAUUUUUCAGUCAAGCCCCAAGCAGUAGCAAGUCCCACCUGGACUCUGACUCACGAGAGAACUCUCUGAAUUAAGAAGAGUGAAAUGGAUAAACUUGAUGGGAAGAGGCAACUUUCACUCAGAAAAUGGCUUUCCAACAGGGAAGAAAGAAAGGAUCAUUCUAAACAACAAGUUAAAAGGAGAGCAAUUUAGUGGAGAGUAAGGGGGAAGAGGACAUACUACUGAGGAGAGUCAGCAUGGAAAGCAGCCUAGGUCAGCGUAUCCAGGAAGCUAGCUGCCAUCAUGGAGACUCCAACACCAAGUCUCCAAAGUGAUGGAAAUCAGAAGCCGACCUGAGGGUCAGAGUUGAGGCUUCAUGAAAGAAGUGAAAGACAGACAAUGUAAACUGGAGAAGUCUCAAUGGGUUUGCUCUAGAGAGUUUCCUGUGGAGACCAUAGUGGGAAGUUACCUGCUUCCUAGGUGAAGAUGGACAGUCAGAUGGACAGACAGACAGACAUGCAGGAUAAGCCCUAGGACCAAAUGAAAGAAGGAAGAUGGAAGGUUCCAUGGACUGUUUUCAGAAGCAACAUGCAGGCACUUGGUGGCACUUACUACCAUCUCUGGAACGUGGUGUGGCUGAUGGGCUUGUGAUGGUGUAACAUGUAGUUUUAAAAAACAAACCAUGGUAAACCGGCUAUAUACUGGCAUGGGAGGUCUCACCCACCUCGAUGGUGCCUGAGGCCAGCCUGCUGUUGAGCUGCUCACACUUCCCAGGUCAUCCACCCACUGUGGCUAGCCUGUGAAAGACAGUUACCACCCACUCAGAUUCCCUUAGCCCCAUAAAAUGAUAACACUAGAGACUUGCAAUGUGUCAACCAUAUUUAUAAACAGUAAAUCUCCAGCCCCAAAAUGCCAGU
This 1328-nucleotide small RNA is filed under the name Rattus norvegicus (Norway rat). RNAcentral's name for it is "uncharacterized LOC102553527". Lineage: Eukaryota; Metazoa; Chordata; Mammalia; Rodentia; Muridae. The record is from RNAcentral.